GAAAUGCGAUAAGUAAUGUGAAUUGCAGAAUUCAGUGAAUCAUCGAAUCUUUGAACGCACAUUGCGCCCGCCAGUAUUCUGGCGGGCAUGCCUGUUCGAGCGUCAUUUCAACCAUCGAGCCCCCGGGCUUGUGUUGGGGACCUGCGGCUGCCCGCAGGCCCUGAAAACCAGUGGCGGGCUCGCUGUCACCCCGAGCGUAGUAGUUAUCCAACUCGCCCAGGGCGUGCUGCGGGUUCCGGCCGUUAAGCCACCCAUUACCCCAAGGUUGACCUCGGAUCAGGUAGGAAUACCCGCUGAACUUAAGC
Molecule: unclassified non-coding RNA, 305 nt
Filed under: plant metagenome
Description: partial contains 5.8S ribosomal RNA, internal transcribed spacer 2, and large subunit ribosomal RNA
Rfam family: 5.8S ribosomal RNA (bases 1-105)
Source: RNAcentral